RNAcentral lists this small RNA (109 nucleotides) under Ancylostoma ceylanicum. RNAcentral's name for it is "SL2 RNA". It matches the Rfam family "SL2 RNA". From Rfam's summary of the family: This family represents SL2 RNA. Lineage: Eukaryota; Metazoa; Nematoda; Chromadorea; Rhabditida; Ancylostomatidae. The record is from Rfam by way of RNAcentral.
GGUUUUAACCCAGUAUCACAAGGUACUAAGGGCUCUGACCUACCAUUCCCGGUUGCGUCAAAAACCUCAAUUUUUGGACCGCCUUUCCGGGGAUAGCCGGGAGGGCAAA